GACGAACGCUGGCGGCGUGCUUAACACAUGCAAGUCGAACGGAAAGGCCCCUUUGGGGGUACUCGAGUGGCGAACGGGUGAGUAACACGUGAGUAACCUGCCCUUGACUUCGGGAUAACUUCAGGAAACUGGGGCUAAUACCGGAUAGGAAUCCUUGCUGCAUGGUGGGGGUUGGAAAGCUUCGGCGGUUUUGGAUGGACUCGCGGCUUAUCAGCUUGUUGGUGGGGUAGUGGCUUACCAAGGCUUUGACGGGUAGCCGGCCUGAGAGGGCGACCGGCCACAUUGGGACUGAGAUACGGCCCAGACUCCUACGGGAGGCAGAAGUGGGGAAUAUUGCACAAUGGGCGGAAGCCUGAUGCAGCAACGCCGCGUGCGGGAUGACGGCCUUCGGGUUGUAAACCGAUUUCAGCAGGGGCGAAGCUUGUGGUGACGGUACCUGCAGAAGAAGCACCGGCUAACUACGUG
Molecule: ribosomal RNA, 465 nt
Filed under: uncultured bacterium
Lineage: Bacteria
Description: partial 16S ribosomal RNA
Rfam family: Bacterial small subunit ribosomal RNA
Source: RNAcentral